This 22-nucleotide microRNA is filed under the name Xenoturbella bocki. Its description in RNAcentral is "Xbo-Novel-5_5p (mature (guide))". Lineage: Eukaryota; Metazoa; Xenacoelomorpha; Xenoturbellidae. The record is from RNAcentral.
AUUGGUUCUUCUUGUAUUCCCA